This 404-nucleotide ribosomal RNA is filed under the name uncultured bacterium. Its description in RNAcentral is "bacterial SSU rRNA". It matches the Rfam family "Bacterial small subunit ribosomal RNA", at positions 355 to 776 of the family's 1533-position model. The record is from RNAcentral.
UAGGGAAUAUUGCACAAUGGAGGAAACUCUGAUGCAGCGACGCCGCGUGAGUGAUGAAGGCCUUCGGGUCGUAAAACUCUGUGAUAGGGGAAGAUGAUGACGGUACCCUAUCAGAAAGGACCGGCUAACUUCGUGCCAGCAGCCGCGGUAAUACGAGGGGUCCAAGCGUUGUUCGGAAUCACUGGGCGUAAAGCGGGUGUAGGUGGCUAGGCAAGUUAUAUGUGAAAGCCCCGGGCUCAACCCGGGAAGUGCAUCUAAAACUACUUAGCUUGAGUAAGGGAGAGGAUAGCAGAAUUCUUGGUGUAGUGGUGAAAUACGUAGAUAUCAAGAGGAACACCGGUGGCGAAGGCGGCUAUCUGGCCCAUUACUGACACUCAGACCCGAAAGCGUGGGUAGCAAACAGG